Non-coding RNA from Peromyscus maniculatus bairdii (prairie deer mouse), 456 nucleotides. The record is from RefSeq and is a predicted model, not a curated record. Lineage: Eukaryota; Metazoa; Chordata; Mammalia; Rodentia; Cricetidae.
ACCAUAACCACCAUUACCAUCAUAACCACCAUCACCAUCACCACCACCAGCAGCAGCACCACCACCACAACCAGCAUCAGCAGCAUCACCAUCACUACCAGAAUCUCUGCCAAUUUGUUAGGCAAAAAUGUAGCUAAUUCUUUAUUUUCCGGUCAGGCCUGCAGUGAGUGGUCUGUGUGUCGGAAGGUGGGUCCCACCGGAGGUGAUAAUGGGAGCUGGUGCAAUCUUUGAGAGGUUAUAAAUGACAAGGAUCAACACAGGAUAGAAGCCGACAGACUGUAGACAAACUGAAUGACAAGCGGCCCGUAAGGACGUAAGAACGAGAAGUGGGGCAUGUCAAGAGAAUGAGCCAAUGACGAAGAGACCAUUAGGAACAGCAAGACCCUUGUCACCUGUCCUGUAUCUCUGCUGUUCUACCGUGUGCCCUGUGCCCCCUGGGAGAAGUCCUCCCAGAGA